GUACCCCAAACCGACACAGGUGGGUGAGGAGAGUAUCCUAAGGUGCUCGAGUAAUUCAUGGCUAAGGAACUAGGCAAAUUAGAUCCGUAACUUCGGGAGAAGGAUCCCCUGACUUUGUCAGGGCGCAGUGAAAAGGCCCAAGCGACUGUUUACCAAAAACACAUGUCUCUGCUAAGCCGCAAGGCGAUGUAUAGGGACUGACACCUGCCCGGUGCUGGAAGGUUAAGGAAGGGAGUUAGCCUCGGCGAAGCUCUUAACUGAAGCCCCAGUAAACGGCGGCCGUAACUAUAACAGUCCUAAG
This 301-nucleotide ribosomal RNA is filed under the name Coccolithus braarudii. Its description in RNAcentral is "partial Bacterial large subunit ribosomal RNA". It matches the Rfam family "Bacterial large subunit ribosomal RNA", at positions 1644 to 1955 of the family's 2925-position model. The record is from RNAcentral. Lineage: Eukaryota; Haptophyta; Coccolithales; Coccolithaceae.